GACGAACGCUGGCGGCGUGCCUAAUACAUGCAAGUAGAACGCUGAAGGAGGAGCUUGCUUCUCUGGAUGAGUUGCGAACGGGUGAGUAACGCGUAGGUAACCUGCCUGGUAGCGGGGGAUAACUAUUGGAAACGAUAGCUAAUACCGCAUAAGAGUAGAUGUUGCAUGACAUUUGCUUAAAAGGUGCAAUUGCAUCACUACCAGAUGGACCUGCGUUGUAUUAGCUAGUUGGUGGGGUAACGGCUCACCAAGGCGACGAUACAUAGCCGACCUGAGAGGGGGAUCGGCCACACUGGGAAUGAGACACGGCCCAGACUCCUACGGGAGGCAGCAGUAGGGAAUCUUUGGCAAUGGACGGAAGUCUGACCGAACAACGCCGCGUGAGUGAAGAAGGGUUUCGGAGCGUAAAGCUCUGUUGUAAGAGAAGAACGAGUGUGAGGGUGGAAAGUUCACACUGUGACGGUACCUUACCAGAAAGGGACGGCUAACUACGUG
RNAcentral lists this ribosomal RNA (495 nucleotides) under uncultured bacterium. RNAcentral describes it as "partial 16S ribosomal RNA". It matches the Rfam family "Bacterial small subunit ribosomal RNA", at positions 28 to 507 of the family's 1533-position model. The record is from RNAcentral.